RNAcentral lists this long non-coding RNA (8120 nucleotides) under Xyrichtys novacula (pearly razorfish). Lineage: Eukaryota; Metazoa; Chordata; Actinopteri; Labriformes; Labridae. The record is from RNAcentral.
AUUGCUUUACCACACAACCCACAUGCACACAAACACAACAGUAAGUAAAUGACUGUUAUUAAUGAAGCAAGAAAUCAAAUUAAAUCAGAGGACGACAGGAUAAACAGAAAUCGAACCAGUAAAAGUGACUUUAAACUUAGACUUAGGUGUUUGCUCAUAACCCUAACCCUAAUUUUAAUGUAUUAAAAUACGGAUUGAACCUUUAAAUUCUGAGCGUGCUGACAAGCUGCAAUCAAGUGCAUCAGUCUGAAGGAGGUAAGUGACCUGUUUUUCUACUUGGACACCUUCCCGUAAAAGUAGUCUGAUGUUUAGGACAUCAGGGUCCGCCGGGUCUAUAAAUUAACCUCUACACUCCACUGACUCGCCGGCUGUGCCUGAACACGGCGUUCGCCUCGACUCCUGCGUAGAGUGACGUAUCCCGCGUUCCGCCGACCAAAGCAGAACGUGGCCCUUGUCUAUUUUUGGCUCCAGUGUUUACAUACACACCUUAAGUACUUGUUGGAUCUGAUCCCAGCGGCCUGUUGCCAAGAUCCGUCAUGGCAACAGGUUUUACUACCAGCUCAGAGACAAACAGAGAGAGAGAGAGAACACAGUGCGUCUGUUUCUUAUCCGAACUGAGGUGAGGCCACGUGAAUGAGCAAACGAGAAGCAUUCACUGUGACAGUAUUCCAGCUCUGCAGGAUGCUCGUACCUACACUUUGCAUGCUUUGUUCAGAAAUAUGUCAUAACCUCGAUUUCCCGCCGGGAUCAUGCAAAUAAAACCGUGAUGCAGACGCUACAAAGAGAUCGUAGUCUCAAAAAUAGCCGAAGACUGCCGCGUAAGGGAAUGUGUGCUGCGUAGGCCCGCUUUGAAGGUCAAGCCGAGUUUAUUUGUACAGCUCAUUAUCACAUGAAGUCUCUCAGGGGGGAACUACAGAGGCCUGGAAACGCUUCGGUUCUACCCAGACAAGGAAAAAGUCCUUGAGGAAUAACAGCAGCGAAAAGGCCGCCUGUAAUCCUUCCUGUUCAUCUUUUUGACUUGAAAACUGUUUAUAUGUCAGGAAAAGACUCUAACUUGGCCUGAAUUCUUACUAGAUUAGAGAAAAAUCAAAAUCCUUGAUAGUGAUUUAAAACUGAAGAGCAGCAGAGAGACAGGAGGAAGCAAACAAAACCUUGACAGACGAAUAAAGGUCGUACAAAAGACGUUAUUUCCUAUUGUUUGUAAAAGGGACAGUUUUUUAUGUUUCGAUUUACUUCUUUUUAUCCUUUUGCUAACACAUUAUGUCAAUUGUUUUGAUACAUUAAAGGUCAACCGGGUCACUGACUGUUUAAUAAAUUGGUUUUCAUGCUACGUUUCGGUUACCUCGGAAAUUGGAUGUCAGACCUGGGAAUGACGUUAAACCCGAGUUGACGGCAUUCCAGUAAACAAGUUAGUAAACCAAGAUGGAUGCCUACUAAUAGCUGUUAUUAACAAUAGUCAGUUGUUGUUAGCAGUUGUCAGCUGUUGUUAGUUGUUGUUAGCAGUUGUCAGCUGUUGUUAGUUGUUGUUAGUUGUUGUUAGUUGUUGUUAGCUAUGCCAGUUGUUAAAAAAAACGCAUAACACAGUAUUUUUCUCAUAUAAACACCGUAGCACCGUAUUCACAGUUAGACGUUGAGCAGUACAACAUAAACCACUUAUUUAAUUUCACAAAAACAAAACAGAAAUUUUAAUAAAUAAUGCAUAACGAAAGAUUUCACUGUUACUCUUUACUGUUGAUGCACCGCGCUGCCAUCUCGGAUUGCGACGUUGUCGUCAAGUCGGGGUUAGUGAGGAUCGGCCAACUUUCCAAGUCGGAAAUCCAACUUCAGGAGGGCGUUCCAGAUGAAUUUUAUGACCCAGAAAUCCCGAUUUCCAAGUAGGACUAUAACGCAGCAUAAGUAAGGAGCAGUUUUAAAGUAGGGUAAGACGAAGAAGACGCACAGAUAGCGAGUUAGCUGUAGCGGUGCUCUGAAAGACAUUUAGACAAAUCUUAAAAUAAAUGUACCAAGAUGAGCGGUGAAAAUACACAGAACAUUUUUACUUAAAAACUGUUGCUGUUAUGAUUUUAAUAUUUCAAAAUUAAAGCUGUAAAUGAAGCAACCUAAAUGCCAAAAUAAAAUCCCCUCCAAAACCGUGAUAAUGUGAGUUAGUCUCCUCUCGUUAGAAUGGUAAUGUUUCCCCCUCGUCUGGUCUUUCCUUAAUUUGAACAAUUGUGUUUUUUUAUCACUAAGUUUUUGAUUGUGAUUUUUUAAAGCCAUUUUUUAAAACUAUGAGGUAAAAAUCUGAUAUUGAGAGAGCCAUAGAUGAAGUUAUGCACACAAAAAUCCUAUGAUAAAUAAACAACAGGAGCUUCUUGUCCUCAAAAGCCACCAUCACCUCCCAAGUGAGGCAAAGGUGUGCUUUAACCUGAAAUCAUACAGGUAGAUAUUGUCCUACACCCCUAUUUCUACACACUGUAGAAAGAGAGGAUUCAAGGACAGCUAACUUCUCCUUUGACUGGCAAACUCCCACAUCUGUGACAAACUAUGAAGCGAAACAUGCUGGCGACCCCUGUGAGGUUAGGAUGAAUAAUAAUAAUGUUAAUGUGAUAACAAAGUGAGAGCGUCUUUUUCCAAACACUCAGUAAGAAAAUGUUUACUUAUCUCAGAAUUUACUAGAAGUGAUUUAUGUAUGAACACAAAUUUCCACAUUAGCUGAAGCUUGGCGUUGAACAGACUUUCCUCUGCCAACAAAGUCUGUGUAAUGUCAGACUGAGAUGAUGUGUGAACAUGACAGGUACUUGUAGUUUUAUAUCAAACAAGUCUGCAUCAGGUGUGUAUGACUUUGAUAAAGCCGACCAAAGUGUUUUUGCUUUUUAUACCUACAAGCAUACAAUCUGCACACUACUUCUCACUCUUAAAAUCUCAUUAUUCCCAAAAGGAACCUGGUUCUCUGAGAAAAUUGCUUGAACUAGCAGAGAAUCAUUAUCAGCAUGCAUUAAAUGCCAAUGAGGUUGUUCAUGAAACAGACUGAAAUUCAUAUUGGUGCAUUUUAGUGACAUACAAAAGGAAACAAAACCAUCAGCAACCAGAUUUAUGAUUUUUAUAAUAGAAUUUUUUAAUGCUCAAAACUGGAGUGAGGGGGUAGGUGUCAGCUGUGCAGCUUUUAAUGUCAGCCGGAUGAGACUUUUUUUAGGUAAAGCAUGUAGAGAAUGUGAUCAUGACAGUGUGUUUUGUCUAAAUUCGACAAACUGAAAGUUCGCUUAAGUUAUUUUGGUGGUAUGGCUCUAUUUAAAGUGCUUCCCGUCCUUCCACAUACUUAUAUUAUGUGCAUACAUGAGAAGCCAAGGUGGGGAGAGCAGCAGCAGAACAUAACAGGACUCAAUGACGAUAUAACUGUCAGCGUAGAAAAGGAGGGGCUGGGUUUAAGUUGGGUUACAAAGUUUGCAGAAGAAGCACGAAGUUGAGGCAGUUUAAACAGAAAGUUUGCAGCCUGCCUGAACUAACACCACGCUCAGUUUAACUUGACAGGGAUGCAAUUGAACACAGAUCCAAUACAAAGCAUGAAAAAAAGUGAUGUGCUGCACAGAUUUCAUGGCUUUUGCUUGUUUUCAACUCGAGCUUCGUGUCUGGCUUUUAUUGGACACAAUGAACUUUAAAAAUGUUAAAAGCGUGAUAUUAAAUGGUGUAAGGUCCACAUAGUUAACCACAACUCUGUUCUGUCUGUCUAAAAAUAGCUUUAAACUACAAAUAUGGCCAUGACAGAGGCGGUGUAAAAAAGUCUAGAUUAUCAGACCUAAACGUCUUGCUAUCAUGAAUCCUUUUGUCUGUACAAAGUUUCAUCUGAUCGCGACUGAAAACAACUUUGAGCUUUUAUUUUUUUAAAACUAUGGCAUCUCUUAUCUACCGAAUACUUUUACUUGUAUCUUGACAUGACACGCAUGUGCAGUAUUUACCCAAAAACUCGUUCCACUAAAAAAAAACGUGCUGCUCACUGCAAAACUAUGCUCAAGAGAAUGUAAACAACAGCUCUGUCUGGCUUUGUGCUAAAAAUUGCUUCAUCUGAAUCAAACCGAGCAGCUGUGAGAGGAUGGGAACAAACAGAGGAGCUUUUUUUUUUUCCCUUGAGAAUCGGAUUUGUCUUUUAUAACGGCUUAAAUAUGAUUUUCAAAAACUGCAAAAUGAGAGCCUCAGUAGUAAAGUUUCUACACAUUCCCGAGCUCGAACACCACUGCUUCUCUAACCUGUGGGAAAGCAGAACAUUGGGUCUGUAAAGCUGCUGGAGUAAAAAGAUGAUCUCAUUACACUCAGACAGCAGGCCACAGGUCUGAGCAGAGAGCAGGAGCUGUCAGCCUGUCAGGAGCCGUGUCCGGGCGUCUGGACACUGUCAGCCUCUACUAUGAUUUCACUGCUGGAAACAACCCGAGUAUCAGAGAGCAGACAGAGGAGGACUCUCUGCUGUCAGUUUUCUGUUUUCUCUUCCAUCUUUAAACAUUGUUAGAGCACAGGAACCGGGUUGAAAUGACGCUUACCUCAACCAGCUGACAAAGAGGAAUGCUGUUUUUGUUGUGCAGAAGAACAUCUCAGAUAUCAUCUCUAAAAAUAUGCCGUCAGACUUCACGUGAAUGUGUCAUCGUUUUGUUUAUCAAAACAACCCGUUUGCAUGGCAUUUGCAUUCAACUAACCCAGGUGUGAGAGUCUCGGAAGGCUCAAAAUUUACCGCAAUGUUGUACUGUCGCAUGUAAAUUAGCAGGAAAAACUUCAAUAUGAUGGUUUAAAGGUCCUGUGAGGAGUUUUUGGAUGUCAAUGACAUAGACGAAAAAGACUUUUUCUGAUAUACAAAAGCAAAAAAGACCAGCAGGGACAGGACUCAUGGUUUUUAUUUGUUAUUGUGAAAAGGGUGCAAGGGGGGAGGUGUCAGCUGAAAAGACGGCCCUGUUUUCACCUCGUCUAUGCAAGAUAUUCACAGUUUGACAGUUACAAGUCACCAGGUUACGAUUUUUGAUAGAAGAUAUCACUUCAGUUCAUAGAAACGUACCUUUUUAAUCUCGCUUUUAACUAAAUUUUAUAUGAUUGACUUAACUUAAAGUUUUUUAGCUUUUAUCUCCUUCUAGUUUUAAUGACAGGAUUGUCUUAUAUUGAGCUAUUUUGGUGCUCUUAUUUUAGUAUUUUUUUACUGUUGUUUUUACUUCAUUUUAUUUCUUAUUUCCUAAAUUUCAUUUUAUUUAACUUAGUUUUUAGAUUUUAAAAAUCUAAAAAGUUUUUAUGAAAUUGCGCCUUUUUCAAGUUAAUGUAUUUUAAUACAUGUUUCCGUUUUGCUUAGAUCACACGGUGGAAAUGAGGGGUUGGGUUGGUGUAGGUUUGGUUAUUCUUUGUUUCUUUUAUGUGCUCUACAAGGGAAAAAAAAAAAAGAUGACGAGGUUAGGACAGACUCAUUUGUCCACAGGGGAUGCCAAAGUUUGCACAGUCCAAAAGAGUUUUGACCUCCGCCUACUUUGUUAAUGUUUAAAAAUAAAAAUCUUCAUGGAAACUUUAAAUAUAUUUUCCUUUGGCGUAACUGUGGAAUUAAAAUUACAGGAAAAGUCUAGACAAAAGGAAGUUAUUCUGCCGUUUACACCCAGAGUCCUGGCUGUCGGUGUGUUCAGGUAUUAGGUGUUUAUUGUUGUCUAUUUUCCACCGCAGGACCUAAUCAUAGGCAAUUAUGCAUCUAUUUUAGGUACGUAGUAGUUGUCGUUUGAGGAGGCGGGGUUUAGCUCCACUGUAAUGCAGCACUAUGACUUGACAGAACUAUUGUUUAGCGUCCUAAUUAAAGCUUUGGAAACGUUCGUGAAAUAAAACAAAUAAUUUAUUCCAGGUUGUAAGGUCACAUGCACUGAUGUCAAUGGAAAUGUGAUUGGACACGCCCCCAAAGUUUGAAGAACGGUUGUCAUAUGAUGGCAAAUGACCUCAACAUUUUAUCUUCCCGUGGAAACUAAAUGAGACACAAAACUUUAAUAUCUGGAUUUUUAAAAAAAUGUUUUAGGUCAAAUUUACAGAAACUUUAAAGACGGAUAAAAACAAACAGAGGAAAGUUUAGCCAAGAUGGAAAAUGUUUGAAAAAUGUUACAAAACUGAGUCUUACAGCGCAGAGACAUGGGAAUAAUGAGACACAUCUUGAAAUCAGAUCCUAGAUUGAACACUCUCUUGCUCACCCCUUCACUCGGUUAAGCUCCUGUAAUGCAUGCUGAGUAUGAUCCCUUAUUUGUCAAGAUUUUACCAUCAAAAAUACCAAUAAACUCAGAUUUUAUCACACACAAGAAUAACCACUUUCUUUUUCUUUACCUCCAAACCCCUAAAUUUAAAAGUUUGUCCAUUCUGAGUUACUGUAGAAACAUGCCAGGGAAAGAUGGAAGAUACAAAAAGCUAAGACUAGGUUUACUAAAUCAAAAUGAUCUUUAUAAUCAGGCGAUUACACUCAAAUUUAAACAUUCUUGUGAAGAUUGGAUUCUAUGUUGUAAAAGCUACAAAAACUACACACUGCACCUUUAAGGUGAAUCAAGAACGCAGGUUUGCUUUGCUCCCCUUUUUGAAAAUAAAUUUUGAUCGUAAUGAUGCGAAUUUAAUUAUGCAAUGUUUACUCAACCUGUAAUGUUUUAAGAUCAUUAUUUUAAUAUUGAAAACUGAUAAAAUAAGUCAAAUAAAUCAUUAGAAGCGCGGCGUAAACUCUAACGGUGCAGUCCCUCUCCUCUCAGGGAGUUUCCCGACAAAGUAACGCUAACUUCGUGUUUUUUCGCACGUCUGCUGUCUGGUCUGUAUUGUUUCCACCUGACCCGGCUGUUGUUUCAGUUAAAGCUCUCUGUAAUCUCACCUGCUUAACACAAUAUUACAUCAGACAGACAAAGUUAACAACUAAAGUGGAGUAUUUAGCGGCUUAAGAGCGAGACGUUUCUUUAAGGAUCUGAUGGAGAUUAACAGAGUAAAGUCUGGAAUUACCUCAGAUAUAAACGUGACUGAAUGAAUGGAUGAGUCUGUCCCUGCUACAUCUUUAAAAAAGAUUAUUAGCUAACAUGUCAGGUAUUAGAUUUAAAGGUGUUAGUGUGUGUACACUGUGUAGAGCCAUUUGACUUUGACUUGAAUAGACAUUGAAACAAGAAGAGUUGACUCAAGUCUUCAUAAAGUCCGUCUUUGGCCUCACGUGCAUUUAUGAGCAGAACAACAAACAAUAUCUGAGCCCAUCAUCCUCCAUCAGACAAAGAUUUACCGUGUUAUCAGUUCCGUGUUUUCACUCAAAUGCAAAUAUGUGAUUGUAGAGAUUAAACGAUUAAUUCAGCAACGUUUUCCCGAGUCACGUUGAAAAGCAAACUCGGGAGCAGACCGCGGUUUUCUCUACUUCUACUAUUACGUUUUAUACGACCGUGAUGGCCCUCGUGGUUUAAGCUCAUGUUGUUUGGUUCUUGCGUUGCUUGAGUUCUUUAGUUUUAUUGUUGUUUGGAUUAUACAGCUUUUGACUUAUCUUAAUUUAUUUGGCGUUUUCUAUUCGGAGUAACCAUAAGUGGGCUAAUGUGGUUUCUUUUCUCAAGUACAGUAACCUACUGUUCCUAUUUUACCUCUCCUGAACCGUUGAGUGACUUUGACCUCAUUUGUCGCUCUGAUUUGUUUGUGUGACAGUUCUUAAAGUUAUUCUUCAGCUGCAGCCCUGUAGACAUCAAACUGAUCCCGAGUCCUUUUCCAAAGUGGAGGCUGGUUUACCAGGUUCAAGAGUUUUUCUGAAGAGCGUCUCUGUGGCGUCUGUUUAAAGCCAGGGAGCUUAUGUCUCGAAAGGUUGCUGCAGUGUUUGGAAACUGGAGGUUUGAUCCAAAGAGAGUGAAGUCACAAUAAAUAACUUUUAUUUCUGUUUUUUAUCUGUAAAAUCCUGUUAGUCUCAGACCUCUCCUACCCUCUUUAUUGUCACAGUCCAACUAAAGACACUGGGGGAAAAAUCACAAGGAGACGAGGGACUCACAGAACAGGCUGACAUGCGCACACAUCGACACACAGUGAACCAACCAGUACAGAGGGGAAGACAGGAGCUGCGUCUGAACUGCCCGCUCGGAUACUACAUGCUAUUGCUACGUGCUACUGCUAGAUCCUACUCCUACAUACUAAAAACGUUGGCCCAAUUCGGA